RNAcentral lists this ribosomal RNA (906 nucleotides) under Alternaria alternata. RNAcentral's name for it is "partial large subunit ribosomal RNA". It matches the Rfam family "Eukaryotic large subunit ribosomal RNA", at positions 39 to 963 of the family's 3401-position model. The record is from RNAcentral. Lineage: Eukaryota; Fungi; Ascomycota; Dothideomycetes; Pleosporales; Pleosporaceae.
CAUAUCAAUAAGCGGAGGAAAAGAAACCAACAGGGAUUGCCCUAGUAACGGCGAGUGAAGCGGCAACAGCUCAAAUUUGAAAUCUGGCUCUUUUAGAGUCCGAGUUGUAAUUUGCAGAGGGCGCUUUGGCUUUGGCAGCGGUCCAAGUUCCUUGGAACAGGACGUCACAGAGGGUGAGAAUCCCGUACGUGGUCGCUGGCUAUUGCCGUGUAAAGCCCCUUCGACGAGUCGAGUUGUUUGGGAAUGCAGCUCUAAAUGGGAGGUACAUUUCUUCUAAAGCUAAAUAUUGGCCAGAGACCGAUAGCGCACAAGUAGAGUGAUCGAAAGAUGAAAAGCACUUUGGAAAGAGAGUCAAACAGCACGUGAAAUUGUUGAAAGGGAAGCGCUUGCAGCCAGACUUGCUUACAGUUGCUCAUCCGGGUUUCUACCCGGUGCACUCUUCUGUAGGCAGGCCAGCAUCAGUUUGGGCGGUAGGAUAAAGGUCUCUGUCACGUACCUCCUUUCGGGGAGGCCUUAUAGGGGAGACGACAUACUACCAGCCUGGACUGAGGUCCGCGCAUCUGCUAGGAUGCUGGCGUAAUGGCUGUAAGCGGCCCGUCUUGAAACACGGACCAAGGAGUCUAACAUCUAUGCGAGUGUUUGGGUGUCAAGCCCGAGCGCGUAAUGAAAGUGAACGGAGGUGGGAACCCGCAAGGGUGCACCAUCGACCGAUCCUGAUGUCUUCGGAAGGAUUUGAGUAAGAGCAUGGCUGUUGGGACCCGAAAGAUGGUGAACUAUGCUUGAAUAGGGUGAAGCCAGAGGAAACUCUGGUGGAGGCUCGCAGCGGUUCUGACGUGCAAAUCGAUCGUCAAAUUUGGGCAUAGGGGCGAAAGACUAAUCGAACUAUCUAGUAGCUGGUUCCUGCGA